Molecule: ribosomal RNA, 305 nt
Filed under: uncultured bacterium
Lineage: Bacteria
Description: bacterial SSU rRNA
Rfam family: Bacterial small subunit ribosomal RNA
Source: RNAcentral
UGGCCCCUACGGGGCGCAGCAGUGGGGAAUAUUGCACAAUGGGGGGAACCCUGAUGCAGCGACGCCGCGUGGGUGAAGGAGUAUUUCGGUAUGUAAAGCCCUAUCAGCAGGGAAGAACAAUGACGGUACCUGACUAAGAAGCACCGGCUAAAUACGUGCCAGCAGCCGCGGUAAUACGUAGGGGGCAAGCGUUAUCCGGAUUCACUGGGUGUAAAGGGAGCGUAGACGGCGACGCAAGUCUGGAGUGAAAGCCCGGGGCCCAACCCCGGGACUGCUCUGGAAACUGCGUCGCUGGAGUACGGGAG